UACGUAGGGUGCGAGCGUUGUCCGGAAUUAUUGGGCGUAAAGAGCUCGUAGGCGGUUUGUUGCGUCGGCCGUGAAAACCUGCAGCUUAACUGUGGGCCUGCGGCCGAUACGGGCAGACUUGAGUUCGGUAGGGGAGACUGGAAUUCCUGGUGUAGCGGUGAAAUGCGCAGAUAUCAGGAGGAACACCGGUGGCGAAGGCGGGUCUCUGGGCCGAUAUUGACGCUGAGGAGCGAAAGCCAGGGGAGCAAACGGG
This 253-nucleotide ribosomal RNA is filed under the name uncultured bacterium. Its description in RNAcentral is "partial 16S ribosomal RNA". It matches the Rfam family "Bacterial small subunit ribosomal RNA", at positions 524 to 776 of the family's 1533-position model. The record is from RNAcentral.